AGCAGCCGCGGUAAUUCCAGCUCCAAUAGCGUAUAUUAAAGUUGUUGCAGUUAAAAAGCUCGUAGUUGAAUUUCGGGAUCAAUAUAUCGGUCGUGCCUUGGUACGUACUGGUAUCAUUGGUUUCUCCUUUCUGACGAACCAUGAUGUCAUUAAUUUGGUGUUAUGGGAAGUUAGGACUGUUACUUUGAAAAAAUUAGAGUGUUUAAAGCAGGCUUUGGCUUGAAUACAUUAGCAUGGAAUAAUGAAAUAGGACGUUCGAACCUAUUUUGUUGGUUUCUAGGAUCAACGUAAUGAUUAAUAGGGAUAGUUGGGGGCAUUAGUAUUCAAUUGUCAGAGGUGAAAUUCUUGGAUUUAUUGAAGACUAACUACUGCGAAAGCAUUUGCCAAGGAUGUUUUCAUUAAUCAAGAACGAAAGUUAGGGGAUCGAAGACGAUCAGAUACCGUCGUAGUCUUAACCAUAAACUAUGCCGACUAGGGAUCGGAUGAUGUUAAUUUUUUAAUGACUCAUUCGGCGCCUUAC
Molecule: unclassified non-coding RNA, 520 nt
Filed under: uncultured Glomus
Lineage: Eukaryota; Fungi; Glomeromycota; Glomeromycetes; Glomerales; Glomeraceae
Description: SSU rRNA
Rfam family: Eukaryotic small subunit ribosomal RNA
Source: RNAcentral